This 518-nucleotide ribosomal RNA is filed under the name uncultured Bacillota bacterium. Its description in RNAcentral is "bacterial SSU rRNA". It matches the Rfam family "Bacterial small subunit ribosomal RNA", at positions 8 to 522 of the family's 1533-position model. The record is from RNAcentral. Lineage: Bacteria; Bacillati; Bacillota.
AGAGUUUGAUCCUGGCUCAGGAUGAACGCUGGCGGCAUGCCUAAUACAUGCAAGUCGAACGGAUCAGCAAUGGUCAGUGGCGAACGGGUGAGUAACACGUAGGUAACCUACCUAAUAGUUGGGAAUAACUCCAAGAAAUUGGAGCUAAAACCGAAUGUGACAUUCUUUAGGCAUCUAGAGAAUGAUAAAAGUGCGUAUGCAUUGCUAUUAGAUGGGCCUGCGGCGCAUUAGUUAGUUGGUGGGGUAAUGGCCUACCAAGACAAUGAUGCGUAGCCGACCUGAGAGGGUGAACGGCCACAUUGGAACUGAGAACGGUCCAAACUCCUACGGGAGGCAGCAGUAGGGAAUAUUUCACAAUCAACGAAAGUUGGAUGGAGCAAUGCCGCGUGAGUGAUGAAGGUCUUAUGGAUUGUAAAGCUCUGUUGCUAGGGAAGAAUGGCUUUAAUAGGAAAUGAUUAAAGUAGGGACGGUACCCUAGUGAGGAAGUCACGGCUAAUUAUGUGCCAGCAGCCGCGGUA